Molecule: ribosomal RNA, 576 nt
Filed under: uncultured Enterobacteriaceae bacterium
Lineage: Bacteria; Pseudomonadati; Pseudomonadota; Gammaproteobacteria; Enterobacterales; Enterobacteriaceae
Description: bacterial SSU rRNA
Rfam family: Bacterial small subunit ribosomal RNA
Source: RNAcentral
UGAAUUGACGGGGGCCCGCACAAGCGGUGGAGCAUGUGGUUUAAUUCGAUGCAACGCGAAGAACCUUACCUACUCUUGACAUCCAGAGAACUUUCCAGAGAUGGAUUGGUGCCUUCGGGAACUCUGAGACAGGUGCUGCAUGGCUGUCGUCAGCUCGUGUUGUGAAAUGUUGGGUUAAGUCCCGCAACGAGCGCAACCCUUAUCCUUUGUUGCCAGCGGUUCGGCCGGGAACUCAAAGGAGACUGCCAGUGAUAAACUGGAGGAAGGUGGGGAUGACGUCAAGUCAUCAUGGCCCUUACGAGUAGGGCUACACACGUGCUACAAUGGCAUAUACAAAGAGAAGCGACCUCGCGAGAGCAAGCGGACCUCAUAAAGUAUGUCGUAGUCCGGAUUGGAGUCUGCAACUCGACUCCACGAAGUCGGAAUCGCUAGUAAUCGUGGAUCAGAAUGCUACGGUGAAUACGUUCCCGGGCCUUGUACACACCGCCCGUCACACCAUGGGAGUGGGUUGCAAAAGAAGUAGGUAGCUUAACCUUCGGGAGGGCGCUUACCACUUUGUGAUUCAUGACUGGGGUG